RNAcentral lists this ribosomal RNA (497 nucleotides) under uncultured bacterium. RNAcentral describes it as "partial 16S ribosomal RNA". It matches the Rfam family "Bacterial small subunit ribosomal RNA", at positions 28 to 507 of the family's 1533-position model. The record is from RNAcentral.
GAUGAACGCUGGCGGCGUGCCUAAUACAUGCAAGUCGAGCGAACGGACGAGAAUCUUGCUUCUCUGAUGUUAGCGGCGGACGGGUGAGUAACACGUGGAUAACCUACCUAUAAGACUGGGAUACCUUCGGGAAACCGGAGCUAAUACCGGAUAAUAUUUUGAACCGCAUGGUUCAAAAGUGAAAGACGUUCUUGCUGUCACUUAUAGAUGGAUCCGCGCUGCAUUAGCUAGUUGGUAAGGUAACGGCUUACCAAGGCAACGAUGCAUAGCCGACCUGAGAGGGUGAUCGGCCACACUGGAACUGAGACACGGUCCAGACUCCUACGGGAGGCAGCAGUAGGGAAUCUUCCGCAAUGGGCGAAAGCCUGACGGAGCAACGCCGCGUGAGCGAUGAAGGUCUUCGGAUCGUAAAACUCUGUUAUUAGGGAAGAACAUAUGUGUAAGUAACUGUGCACAUCUUGACGGUACCUAAUCAGAAAGCCACGGCUAACUACGUG